This 75-nucleotide transfer RNA is filed under the name Colletotrichum higginsianum. RNAcentral describes it as "tRNA-Tyr". It matches the Rfam family "tRNA". From Rfam's summary of the family: Transfer RNA (tRNA) molecules are approximately 80 nucleotides in length. Lineage: Eukaryota; Fungi; Ascomycota; Sordariomycetes; Glomerellales; Glomerellaceae. The record is from RNAcentral.
CUUCCCUUGGUGUAGUUGGUUCAUCACGUUCGACUGUAAAUCGAAAGGUCUCUAGUUCGAUUCUGGAAGGGAAGA